Molecule: long non-coding RNA, 786 nt
Organism: Brassica oleracea var. oleracea
Lineage: Eukaryota; Viridiplantae; Streptophyta; Magnoliopsida; Brassicales; Brassicaceae
Exons: 4
Source: RefSeq, a predicted model, not a curated record
AGUUAGGGUUUAACCCAGGUUCUUCUUCUUUGCCUCUCCAGAGCACCCAUGUCUAUUAGGUCUUUGAAAUCGAUCUUCCAUCUUCUUCCUCAGAGUACGAAGCGUUACCAGUUACGGGAUCAUCAUCUUAAAACCCUCCAUUACUCUCUCACACACGAUCUAUAUUCAAUGCGAUUUCUGGAUCUGCAAGCGGUACAGGUUCGUCUAUAAAAAGACUGUCCGCUCCUCCUCCACUGUUCAAGUCCGUUUGCUGCGUUUCUGGGAGGCUAGGAGUGCCUGCCGUGGUUGAGAGCUCAUGGGUGUGGAUAUGCUCUUACUGGAUUCUCAGGUAUCGGAAGCUCCAACGUUUUAUGAUCUAUGUGCACGCGAAGGGGAUGAUAGUAGAUGAUGAGUAUGUACUCAUGGGAUCUGCUAAUACCAACCAAAGAUCAGUGGCCGGUAUUGAAAGAUACAGAAAUAGCAAUGGGUGCAUAUCAACCCCAUCAUACAUGGACUAACCAGGCAAGACACCACGUGGCCAGGUGUAUGGAUACAAAAUGUCACUAUGGGCAGAGCAUUUAGGCAAAACAGGAGAUGAGUUCGUGGACCCUGCUGAUCUAGAAUGCGUAAACGAAAUCGCUGAAGGAAUUCUCAGAGCUGCAAGGUCACUUGAUUAAACAUCCUCCACAAGUAGACAGUGAAGGUAAAGUGAACUCGCUUCCAGAUUACGACAGCUUCCCAGAUGUUGGUGGUAAGAUCAUUGGAGCUCAUUCAAUGGCUCUCCCUGAUACUCCAACCACGUAAUGU